ACGGGUGAGUAACGCGUGGGAAUCUACCGUGCCCUGCGGAAUAGCUCCGGGAAACUGGAAUUAAUACCGCAUACGCCCUACGGGGGAAAGAUUUAUCGGGGUAUGAUGAGCCCGCGUUGGAUUAGCUAGUUGGUGGGGUAAAGGCCCACCAAGGCGACGAUCCAUAGCUGGUCUGAGAGGAUGAUCAGCCACAUUGGGACUGAGACACGGCCCAAACUCCUACGGGAGGCAGCAGUGGGGAAUAUUGGACAAUGGGCGCAAGCCUGAUCCAGCCAUGCCGCGUGAGUGAUGAAGGCCUUAGGGUUGUAAAGCUCUUUCACCGGAGAAGAUAAUGACGGUAUCCGGAGAAGAAGCCCCGGCUAACUUCGUGCCAGCAGCCGCGGUAAUACGAAGGGGGCUAGCGUUGUUCGGAAUUACUGGGCGUAAAGCGCACGUAGGCGGAUAUUUAAGUCAGGGGUGAAAUCCCAGAGCUCAACUCUGGAACUGCCUUUGAUACUGGGUAUCUUGAGUAUGGAAGAGGUAAGUGGAAUUCCGAGUGUAGAGGUGAAAUUCGUAGA
RNAcentral lists this ribosomal RNA (557 nucleotides) under uncultured bacterium. RNAcentral's name for it is "bacterial SSU rRNA". It matches the Rfam family "Bacterial small subunit ribosomal RNA", at positions 102 to 694 of the family's 1533-position model. The record is from RNAcentral.